Molecule: non-coding RNA, 97 nt
Organism: Paramuricea clavata
Lineage: Eukaryota; Metazoa; Cnidaria; Anthozoa; Malacalcyonacea; Plexauridae
Source: the annotation of a GenBank genome assembly
CAAACGUGAUGGUGUUUAUGACGUCGAAUAUCGACGUCAUAAACACGAAAUUUGAUCGUGUUUAUGACGUCGAAUAUCGACGUCAUAAACACCAAAU